Molecule: ribosomal RNA, 245 nt
Filed under: uncultured bacterium
Lineage: Bacteria
Description: partial 16S ribosomal RNA
Rfam family: Bacterial small subunit ribosomal RNA
Source: RNAcentral
UACGAAGGGGGCUAGCGUUGUUCGGAUUUACUGGGCGUAAAGCGCGCGUAGGCGGAUCUUUAAGUCAGGGGUGAAAUGCCAGGGCUCAACCUUGGAACCGCCUUUGAUACUGGAGAUCUUGAGUUCGGGAGAGGUGAGUGGAACUGCGAGUGUAGAGGUGAAAUUCGUAGAUAUUCGCAAGAACACCAGUGGCGAAGGCGGCUCACUGGCCCGAUACUGACGCUGAGGCGCGAAAGCGUGGGGAG